RNAcentral lists this ribosomal RNA (377 nucleotides) under uncultured cyanobacterium. RNAcentral's name for it is "bacterial SSU rRNA". It matches the Rfam family "Bacterial small subunit ribosomal RNA", at positions 376 to 770 of the family's 1533-position model. The record is from RNAcentral. Lineage: Bacteria; Bacillati; Cyanobacteriota.
CGAAAGCCUGACGGAGCAAUACCGCGUGCGGGAGGACGCUUUUUGGAGUGUAAACCGCUUUUCUCAAGGAAGAUGAUGACGGUACUUGAGGAAUCAGCAUCGGCUAACUUCGUGCCAGCAGCCGCGGUAAUACGAGGGAUGCAAGCGUUAUCCGGAAUCAUUGGGCGUAAAGCGUCCGCAGGUGGCUCAUCAAGUCUGCUGUUAAAGACAGAAGCUCAACUUCUGAUAGGCAGUGGAAACUGGUGAGCUGGAGUACGGUAGGGGUUGAGGGAAUUCCCAGUGUAGCGGUGAAAUGCGUAGAUAUUGGGAAGAACACCAGUGGCGAAGGCGCUCAACUGGGCCGUAACUGACACUCAGGGACGAAAGCUAGGGUAGCG